GACCAAACUCGAGCAGCGAUUCGUCGGAGGGAGAAAUAACAUCUCGAUGUCGGGCAGAAACAUCUAGGCCUACAGAGAGGAGUCGCGCUCCGCAGGAGGAUCCCGCCCCUGUACCACAAAUGGGCGGGAUGAAUUGCCCGUGCCUGCCUUCGCAGGAAGUAAUGUUACGCGCAGCCUUUCAUGACUACAACAGGCAACAUCUAUUGGCGAUGUUGUCCUAUUUUAUGUCUAUUAUAAAAAGACACUUAACGGAGAAUGAACGAGAAAGAAGAGGUGGAAGAUGAAUGGGGUAGAGAUGUGAUUGAGAGAGAAGGAGGAAAAGAAAGAUGAAUGUGAUGAAGAAGUAAAACAUAAUGUAAUAUUGAAAUAAUAGUUAGUAUAUAGUGAAUGAUAGUAAAUAAAAAAAUUUUUUUUAAAAAA
Parasteatoda tepidariorum (common house spider) is the source of this 420-nucleotide non-coding RNA. NCBI's taxonomy places the organism in Eukaryota, Metazoa, Arthropoda, Arachnida, Araneae, Theridiidae. The record is from RefSeq and is a predicted model, not a curated record.